This 857-nucleotide ribosomal RNA is filed under the name Firmicutes bacterium enrichment culture clone CTBE CDB1009D03. RNAcentral describes it as "bacterial SSU rRNA". It matches the Rfam family "Bacterial small subunit ribosomal RNA", at positions 72 to 920 of the family's 1533-position model. Lineage: Bacteria; Bacillati; Bacillota. The record is from RNAcentral.
CUUCUCCUUUCGGGGAAGGUAGCGGCGGACGGGUGAGUAACACGUAGGCAACCUGCCCACAAGACUGGGAUAACAUUCGGAAACGAAUGCUAAGACCGGAUACGCAAGCCUGGGGCAUCCCGGGCUUGGGAAACACGGCGCAAGCUGUGGCUUGUGGAUGGGCCUGCGGCGCAUUAGCUAGUUGGUGGGGUAACGGCCCACCAAGGCGACGAUGCGUAGCCGACCUGAGAGGGUGAACGGCCACACUGGGACUGAGACACGGCCCAGACUCCUACGGGAGGCAGCAGUAGGGAAUCUUCCACAAUGGGCGAAAGCCUGAUGGAGCAACGCCGCGUGAGUGAGGAAGGCUUUCGGGUCGUAAAGCUCUGUUGCCAGGGAAGAAUAAGGGCCAGUUAACUGCUGGUCCGAUGACGGUACCUGAGAAGAAAGCCCCGGCUAACUACGUGCCAGCAGCCGCGGUAAUACGUAGGGGGCAAGCGUUGUCCGGAAUUAUUGGGCGUAAAGCGCGCGCAGGCGGUUCUUUAAGUCUGGUGUAUAAGUGCGGGGCUCAACCCCGUGAGGCACUGGAAACUGGGGAACUUGAGUGCAGAAGAGGAGAGCGGAAUUCCACGUGUAGCGGUGAAAUGCGUAGAGAUGUGGAGGAACACCAGUGGCGAAAGCGGCUCUCUGGACUGUAACUGACGCUGAGGCGCGAAAGCGUGGGGAGCAAACANGAUUAGAUACCCUGGUAGUCCACGCCGUAAACGAUGAGUGCUAGGUGUUGGGGGGAUCGCCCCCUCGGUGCCGAAGUUAACACAUUAAGCACUCCGCCUGGGGAGUACGCUCGCCAGAUGNAACUCAAAGGAAUUGACGGGGAC